GGCGCACGGGUGAGCAAUACGUAGGUAAUCUGCCCUCGGGACUGGGAAAACCAAGGGAAACUUUGGCUAAUACCGGAUAAGACCACACGGCUUCGGCCGGGUGGGAAAAGCGGGGGACCCUUCGGGGCCUCGUACCUGGGGAUGAGCCUUCGCACCAUCAGCUAGUUGGUAGGGUAACGGCCUACCAAGGCUAAGACGGUUAGCUGGUCUGAGAGGAUGACCAGCCACACUGGAACUGAGACACGGUCCAGACUCCUACGGGAGGCAGCAGUGGGGGAUAUUGCGCAAUGGGCGAAAGCCUGACGCAGCGACGCCGCGUGGAGGAUGAAGGCCUUCGGGUUGUAAACUCCUGUCAAGAGGGACGAAUGGGUGGACGGAUAACACCUAGCUAUCCUGACGGUACCUCUAAAGGAAGCACCGGCUAACUCUGUGCCAGCAGCCGCGGUAAGACAGAGGGUGCAAGCGUUGUUCGGAUUUACUGGGCGUAAAGGGCGCGUAGGCGGUGUGGUAAGUCGGGUGUGAAAUCCCUCGUUUCAAGCGAGGAACUGCACUCGAAACUACCGCACUUGAGUCCCGGAGAGGGAAGUG
Molecule: ribosomal RNA, 588 nt
Filed under: uncultured Pseudomonadota bacterium
Lineage: Bacteria; Pseudomonadati; Pseudomonadota
Description: bacterial SSU rRNA
Rfam family: Bacterial small subunit ribosomal RNA
Source: RNAcentral